GACCACGUAGCUCAGUUGGCAGAGCAUUGUGCUAGUAUUCCAAAGGUCGUAGGUUCGAUUCCCACCGCGGCCA
Paramuricea clavata is the source of this 73-nucleotide non-coding RNA. The record is from the annotation of a GenBank genome assembly. NCBI's taxonomy places the organism in Eukaryota, Metazoa, Cnidaria, Anthozoa, Malacalcyonacea, Plexauridae.